AAACUUUUCCACCUUAUCAGAUUCCAACUACCACCUUCCCCUUUAUUCUUCUUUCUCACCUAUCUACUUUCUCCCCACUCCACUCCAGAUCUGCUGAAAUUGCCAGAUUCCCAGGUCAAAGAAGAAGAUGGGUCAUCACCACCACCACCACCACGGCCAUGGCGGUCCGCACGAUGAUCCUUUCCUGGCGUGUUGCUGCUGCCCUUGCAUGAUGGUGUCGUCUUUGUUCUCCGUCUUCCAGAGGUGCCUCAUGUUUGUGUGCUAUCCUUUUCUGAGUUGCUUGGGGUGUGUUGAGCAUGGCCAUCCCCACCACCACCAUCACCAUCACAGGUUCUAGUAGUAGUCUCCACUGUGUUUCUUUCAGUUUUGAACUCUAUGUAUUAACCUGAUGUGGACAUGUGAUUGUGUUGAACUCUGCAUAUUUGUAAGUCUUGGAUGGAUGGCAGCCCCCCAAGUUGUGUGUUUUUUUUUUUUUUUUUUUUUUUUGUUGGAAAGAUUGAAACUUGGUGGGCCAGUCAUCUGUGUGUAAUGUGGUUUUGUGACUCUACUGUUAUCUGAGGUUAUGAAAUGGGAGACAAUUAUAAAAUGCUAUCAUGUUUUUGUAGUCAAUAAAUAAGGAAAAUUUCCAAU
This is a long non-coding RNA of Ipomoea nil (Japanese morning glory), 630 nucleotides long. RefSeq lists it as uncharacterized. The record is from RefSeq and is a predicted model, not a curated record. Lineage: Eukaryota; Viridiplantae; Streptophyta; Magnoliopsida; Solanales; Convolvulaceae. The transcript has 3 exons.